RNAcentral lists this unclassified non-coding RNA (269 nucleotides) under Hevea brasiliensis (rubber tree). Lineage: Eukaryota; Viridiplantae; Streptophyta; Magnoliopsida; Malpighiales; Euphorbiaceae. The record is from RNAcentral.
GAAAGAAGAAGGCUGUUGCAGAGCUCAUCAGUCCUUAAUGGCCAUUAGGAUGACCUUCCCAACUGUAGUGUAUAAGCAAAUCUUGGAGUUGUCGAACAACCGAAAACAAGAUGGAUCAUUCUUUUAAUGCAGGACACCCAAUUAGAUCCAAGAUCAUAAGCUAAUCAACUCCACAAAGACAACAUGCAACAAUUACACCACCACCCAUGAAGCUAAAAACCAACACAGGAAGCAGACGAAACCAAGCAAAGAUUCAAACUCAGCUUUCU